Molecule: long non-coding RNA, 1306 nt
Organism: Ipomoea triloba (trilobed morning glory)
Lineage: Eukaryota; Viridiplantae; Streptophyta; Magnoliopsida; Solanales; Convolvulaceae
Exons: 2
Source: RefSeq, a predicted model, not a curated record
GAAAGCUUGUCGUUCCUCCUCUUCGCCUGCCAUUCCUCUGUCGCCCCAAAUCCAUCGCCAACAGCUUUUACUGUCGUUCCUCCACCUAAUUUGUCGCCAACAGUCUCUUCCUGCUGUCGCUUUGGCUUAGUCAAUAGAGCUCGUCGUCCACAGCGUAGUGACGCACGCUUGGGUCUUUGUCGUCGUCGUCGCGGGUGCUUCGUACGUUGCCUUCGUUGCUACAGAUUUGUUCCAUUAAUCUAAACCUUAAUUCCUAAUCCCUAAAUGCCUAAUUUCAUAAAUUCAUAAUUCCAUUUAUAUCUAAAUUCCUAAUUCUAUAUCUUUGAUGCCCUAAUAUGAGAUAUUCUCAUUACCGUUUGCUGUUGCAUUGAAUUUGAAGGUUCGCAACUUUCCCACUGACAAGAUGGUUAGUGAAUCUGCUAUUCAAGUUUCUAUAUUUAUUUGUGCAAGGAUGGUAGUUAGUUUAGGCAAACUGGUGAUACCAUAUUUAAAGGCAAUUGUUUUCUGUGUAGAACUGUAGAAGUAAAAUUGCUUAUAGUUUUUUUUUUUUUUUGAAAAUGAAAAUAAAGAAGUGAAAAUAGCUAUUAAAGUAUACUUAGAGUUGUUUUUAAUCAUUCAAUUUAUGGUUUUACAAUUUACAAAGUAAUUUGAAACGUUUGAAUAUAUGAAAGCACAGAUCAAUGGUACUGAGGUGUUUUAAAUUUUUUGGCAGAAAUGAUCUUUGUGGAUUUAGUGAUUUACUUCCAUUAUCAUUUUAAAUCUGCUUGCUGUGUGUCCAUGCUAAAUAUUAUAAAUUGUGAAUAGGUUAUAACUCUUUACCAGUUCAUUUAUUCAUAUACUAAUUUGGUUUCAUUGUGCAUCUAUUUCUAUAAAAGUUUGCAAUAGUUAUACUGGACAUUUCAAUGGCCAUUCUUAAAAACUAAAUAUAUGAAAUGGCUUGCUCAAGGCCGUAAUGAGGCUUAUGCCUAGCCGUUGUCAGACUAUGUAGUACCAGUUCUUGUUGAAGCUUUGCAUAAGGAACCUAAUACAGAAAUAUGUGCAAACAUGUUGGAUAUGGUGAAUGAAUGCUUGUAGGUGGGUCUACAUCACAGAGAUAAUCUGGUUACUUCUUUAAUUUUCACAGGAAUGCAUUUGAUUAGAACUUUGAGAACAAUAUUUAGACUUGGUGAUUGGAAAUAUUCAUUGUAUUUUGAAGUAGAUGAUGAAUUGUUGUGUAUUUUCAAAUACUUUAUAUACUUGUAGAUGAUUAUUGUAUUAAUGAAUUGAUGCUUUUGUAUUUAUGGUUUUUGGAUAAAUUAUUAAUGAA